RNAcentral lists this transfer RNA (72 nucleotides) under Actinomortierella ambigua. It matches the Rfam family "tRNA". From Rfam's summary of the family: Transfer RNA (tRNA) molecules are approximately 80 nucleotides in length. Their secondary structure includes four short double-helical elements and three loops (D, anti-codon, and T loops). Further hydrogen bonds mediate the characteristic L-shaped molecular structure. tRNAs have two regions of fundamental functional importance: the anti-codon, which is responsible for specific mRNA codon recognition, and the 3' end, to which the tRNAs corresponding amino acid is attached (by aminoacyl-tRNA synthetases). tRNAs cope with the degeneracy of the genetic code in two manners: having more than one tRNA (with a specific anti-codon) for a particular amino acid; and 'wobble' base-pairing, i.e. permitting non-standard base-pairing at the 3rd anti-codon position. Lineage: Eukaryota; Fungi; Mortierellomycota; Mortierellomycetes; Mortierellales; Mortierellaceae. The record is from Rfam by way of RNAcentral.
GCCCCUAUGGCGUAGUGGUAGCGCAUCUGUCUUGUAAACAGAAGGUCGCUGGUUCAAAUCCGGCUGGGGGCA